AACGAACGCUGGCGGCAUGCCUAACACAUGCAAGUCGAACGAAACCUUCGGGUCUAGUGGCGCACGGGUGCGUAACGCGUGGGAACCUGCCCUUAGGUUCGGCAUAACUCCCCGAAAGGGGUGCUAAUACCGGAUAAUGUCUUCGGACCAAAGAUUUAUCGCCUUUGGAUGGGCCCGCGUUGGAUUAGCUAGUUGGUAGGGUAAAAGCCUACCAAGGCGACGAUCCAUAGCUGGUCUGAGAGGAUGAUCAGCCACACUGGGACUGAGACACGGCCCAGACUCCUACGGGAGGCAGCAGUGGGGAAUAUUGGACAAUGGGCGAAAGCCUGAUCCAGCAAUGCCGCGUGAGUGAUGAAGGCCUUAGGGUUGUAAAGCUCUUUUACCCGGGAUGAUAAUGACAGUACCGGGAGAAUAAGCUCCGGCUAACUCCGUG
This 433-nucleotide ribosomal RNA is filed under the name uncultured bacterium. Its description in RNAcentral is "partial 16S ribosomal RNA". It matches the Rfam family "Bacterial small subunit ribosomal RNA", at positions 29 to 507 of the family's 1533-position model. The record is from RNAcentral.